Molecule: non-coding RNA, 289 nt
Filed under: Pseudoponticoccus marisrubri
Lineage: Bacteria; Pseudomonadati; Pseudomonadota; Alphaproteobacteria; Rhodobacterales; Roseobacteraceae
Description: Ponticoccus sp. SJ5A-1 Bacterial large subunit ribosomal RNA
Rfam family: Bacterial large subunit ribosomal RNA
Source: Rfam by way of RNAcentral
AUCCAUGGGCAGGUUGAAGAUCGAGUAACAUCAAUUGGAGGACCGAACUCACUAAUGUUGAAAAAUUAGGAGAUGACCUGUGGAUCGGAGUGAAAGGCUAAUCAAGCCGGGAGAUAGCUGGUUCUCCUCGAAAGCUAUUUAGGUAGCGCCUCGCGUCUCACCCUCGGGGGUAGAGCACUGUUUGGGCUAGGGGGUCAUCCCGACUUACCAACCCCAUGCAAACUCCGAAUACCGAGGAGUGCAAUCGCGGGAGACACACGGCGGGUGCUAACGUCCGUAGUGGAGAGGG